GGGAAGCGGCGCGAUGACGGCUCCUCCGCCCUCUUCCCGACGGGCGUCGAUCUCCGGCCGGCAGCGGCGGCGGCGGCGGCGGCGAAGCAGGGCCAGCUCAAGUCCAUCCUCAAGAAGCCCUCCGAUGAGGCCGGCGGCGCCGCCAAGGAGACCCAGCGGGUUAAGUUCCUCCUGGGAGGCGGCGACGGCACCGGCGAGCCGCCGGUGGUGGUCUGUAGUGCUGCUGCGGGUUUGGACAACAACCCUAAUCGUAAGGCUUCUUCUUCUUCUUCCAAAUCUGUCACCUUCCUCCCCGCCCCCCAACCCCCGCCCCCGCCCCGGCCGGCGGCGCCGCCGGUGGUGGACAUCUCCGGCCCGAUGCUCAGCCUUCUGGCGAGGUGCAGCGACAUCGUCACCGACGUCAAGUCGGCGCUGGGCUAUGUUCCCUAUCACCCUCUCUAG
Molecule: long non-coding RNA, 441 nt
Filed under: Spirodela polyrhiza (greater duckweed)
Lineage: Eukaryota; Viridiplantae; Streptophyta; Magnoliopsida; Alismatales; Araceae
Description: long non-coding RNA (SPOL_LNC001477)
Source: RNAcentral